UCUGCGUCCUGAUCUUGGAACUGAGCUGGAGAGAGAUGCGGGGCGUGGAAAAGGCCAGGGCAGCCGUCCUCUCCCGACUGGCUUCUGAGUGCGGCUGAGACCGCUGACACUGGUGUCUGGCGUUGCUCCUGAAAUUCUGACUUUGGAAAUCCACCGCACGCCUUUGUGCUUAGAGCAGCGAGCCUGCUUCUGGGUCAGCCUCUGAGCCAGUGUGCUUUACUGUAAGCGUUAGAAACAUGACUUCUAACAUUACAGUUAAAGGAGGAAUGAUAUAUUUCAGUGAAGAAUCCCAGCUCAACGGGGCUCUUCUGAGAACUGCAGAAAACAGCUCUGGACUCCUCCCUCGGAGCACCCGCCCAGCUUCCCUCUCCUGGCGCAAAACCUUGAUGCAAGCGGCGUGUGCCACAGUCCCAGGGUCCUCUGGCUCGUUUGUAAAUCUGUCAGCUGAGGCUACCAACAAGUUCAGAACAAGUGCUGAACGUGGGGGACAGCGCGGCCACAGACACCCAGUGAGGGUGAGUCUUGUCUGGCAGAGAAGGGCGAGGCUGGGACGUGGCAGCCGGACUCAGCUUGACCACAAAUCUCUGCCCAGUGAAGGCCGCCAUGCCACUGAAUCCUGGGAAGAAAGCAACACAAACGCCUAAACUGGAAGGAGUAAAGGUGCCCUGCAAGGUAGGUCAAGGCUUCAACGGGUAAAUCUAGGUGGAAAUGGAUCCCAACCAUAGCACGGACCUCACAGGGCAGCAUGUGGGGUUCAGCCCAGCCUCCACCGAUGGGCAGGGACAUGGGGCUCCGGCAGCCCCGGGGCAGAGGAGAAAUGCAGCCAGCCCAGGGCCACGUGCUGGCUGAGCCUGAGAGCACCACGGGGACAGCCUCAGCCAGGCACUGCAGCUUCCGGCAGAGAAGCCCACCGGCACAGGUGGUAAAAAUAAAGACUGAAGAACCAGAAAGAGAAAGUAUUAACAAAAAUGCCAGUGAUCAACAAAGUGGAAAAAUUGAAUUUGUGUUCAAAGUAAUGAUAUUAAAAGGCAUUUGAAAAAUGCAACUGUCAAAAAUAAGUUUAUAAAAUAAAGGACAUAAUAGAAAA
Homo sapiens (human) is the source of this 1087-nucleotide long non-coding RNA. RefSeq lists it as uncharacterized. The transcript has 3 exons. The record is from RefSeq and is a predicted model, not a curated record. NCBI's taxonomy places the organism in Eukaryota, Metazoa, Chordata, Mammalia, Primates, Hominidae.